This 460-nucleotide ribosomal RNA is filed under the name uncultured bacterium. RNAcentral's name for it is "partial 16S ribosomal RNA". It matches the Rfam family "Bacterial small subunit ribosomal RNA", at positions 338 to 795 of the family's 1533-position model. The record is from RNAcentral.
CCUACGGGGGGCUGCAGUGAGGAAUAUUGGUCAAUGGGCGCUAGCCUGAACCAGCCAAGUAGCGUGAAGGAUGACUGCCCUAUGGGUUGUAAACUUCUUUUAUAUGGGAAUAAAGUGCAGUAUGUAUACUGCUUUGCAUGUACCUUAUGAAUAUGGAUCGGCUAACUCAGUGCCAGCAGCCGCGGUAAUACGGAGGAUUCGAGCGUUAUCCGGAUUUGUUGGGUUUAAAGGGAGCGUAGGGGGGUUGUUAAGUGAGUUGUGAAAGUUUGCGGCUUAACCGUAAAAUUGCCGUUGAUACUGGCAUCCUUGAGUACAGGAGAGGUAGGCGGAAUUCGUGGUGUAGCGGUGAAAUGCGUAGAUAUAAGGAAGAACUCCGAUUGCGAAGGCAGCCUGCUGGACUGUAACUGACGCUGAUGCUCGAAAGUGUGGGUAGCAAACAGGAUUAGAUACCCCAGUAGUC